UACGUAGGGUGCAAGCGUUAAUCGGCAUUACUGGGCGUAAAGCGUGCGCAGGCGGCCAUGCAAGACAGAUGUGAAAUCCCCGGGCUCAACCUGGGAACUGCAUUUGUGACUGCAUGGCUGGAGUGCGGCAGAGGUGGAUGGAAUUCCGCGUGUAGCAGUGAAAUGCGUAGAUAUGCGGAGGAACACCGAUGGCGAAGGCAAUCCCCUGGACCUGUACUGACGCUCAUGCACGAAAGCGUGGGGAGCAAACAGG
RNAcentral lists this ribosomal RNA (253 nucleotides) under uncultured bacterium. RNAcentral's name for it is "partial 16S ribosomal RNA". It matches the Rfam family "Bacterial small subunit ribosomal RNA", at positions 524 to 776 of the family's 1533-position model. The record is from RNAcentral.